GAUGAACGCUGGCGGCGUGCCUAAUACAUGCAAGUCGAGCGAACAGACGAGGAGCUUGCUCCUCUGACGUUAGCGGCGGACGGGUGAGUAACACGUGGAUAACCUCCCUAUAAGACUGGGAUAACUUCGGGAAACCGGAGCUAAUACCGGAUAAUAUAUUGAACCGCAUGGUUCAAUAGUGAAAGACGGUUUUGCUGUCACUUAUAGAUGGAUCCGCGCCGCAUUAGCUAGUUGGUAAGGUAACGGCUUACCAAGGCAACGAUGCGUAGCAGACCUGAGAGGGUGAUCGGCCACACGGGAACUGAGACACGGUCCAGACUCCUACGGGAGGCAGCAGUAGGGAAUCUUCCGCAAUGGGCGAAAGCCUGACGGAGCAACGCCGCGUGAGUGAUGAAGGUCUUCGGAUCGUAAAACUCUGUUAUUAGGGAAGAACAAAUGUGUAAGUAACUAUGCACGUCUUGACGGUACCUAAUCAGAAAGCCACGGCUAACUACGUG
This 497-nucleotide ribosomal RNA is filed under the name uncultured bacterium. RNAcentral describes it as "partial 16S ribosomal RNA". It matches the Rfam family "Bacterial small subunit ribosomal RNA", at positions 28 to 507 of the family's 1533-position model. The record is from RNAcentral.